This is a long non-coding RNA of Magallana angulata, 229 nucleotides long. RefSeq lists it as uncharacterized. Lineage: Eukaryota; Metazoa; Mollusca; Bivalvia; Ostreida; Ostreidae. The record is from RefSeq and is a predicted model, not a curated record. The transcript is spliced from 3 exons.
GGUAACAUUCCAAUUACCAAAACCAUUUGAAUCCAGCAGCUGUCCAAAGCGCUUUCAAAAAGAUCAAGGACAUUGAAUGUUGAAAGCCUCUGCAAAAGGUGACAGAACUAUUAUCCAGACAAGGCCUGAAGAACUUCAAAAACAUUCACAUCUGAAAAUUAGGAAAAUAGCUGAGUACUGAACCUACUUGUAGAAUUAAACUCAGCAUCAAAAUCAAAAUCUACCUCAG